UAUUUCACAACUCAAUUUUUAUUUUUCACUAUUUUUCUUCCAAGCAAGCAUUCAUUUUCAUUCUUUCUAUUUUUGUUCUUUUCUUUCACAUCAUAUUUACAAAACAGAUGUUUCUUUUCUAUAUUUUUAUUUUCAAUGCUUGCUUGGUUUUUCAUUUUUUUCCAAGAGUUGUGGUACUUACCGAUUCUCCCCAACUUAUUUCUUACUCACCCUAAGUGAAUGCUCUUAACUUUUUACGGCAAAAGAACAAUAAUCAAGAUUUUCC
This 265-nucleotide long non-coding RNA is filed under the name Lathyrus oleraceus (garden pea). Its description in RNAcentral is "Pisum sativum (pea) long non-coding RNA (PSAT_LNC037171)". The record is from RNAcentral. Lineage: Eukaryota; Viridiplantae; Streptophyta; Magnoliopsida; Fabales; Fabaceae.